RNAcentral lists this ribosomal RNA (493 nucleotides) under uncultured bacterium. Its description in RNAcentral is "partial 16S ribosomal RNA". It matches the Rfam family "Bacterial small subunit ribosomal RNA", at positions 30 to 523 of the family's 1533-position model. The record is from RNAcentral.
AUUGAACGCUGGCGGCAUGCUUUACACAUGCAAGUCGAACGGUAACAGGUUAAGCUGACGAGUGGCGAACGGGUGAGUAAUGCAUCGGAACGUGCCCGGUCGUGGGGGAUAACACUUCGAAAGAAGUGCUAAUACCGCAUACGAUCUGAGGAUGAAAGCGGGGGACCGUAAGGCCUCGCGCGAUCGGAGCGGCCGAUGUCAGAUUAGGUAGUUGGUGGGGUAAAGGCCUACCAAGCCGACGAUCUGUAGCUGGUCUGAGAGGACGACCAGCCACACUGGGACUGAGACACGGCCCAGACUCCUACGGGAGGCAGCAGUGGGGAAUUUUGGACAAUGGGCGCAAGCCUGAUCCAGCAAUGCCGCGUGCAGGAAGAAGGCCUUCGGGUUGUAAACUGCUUUUGUACGGAGCGAAAAGGCUCUCUCUAAUACAGGGGGCUGAUGACGGUACCGUAAGAAUAAGCACCGGCUAACUACGUGCCAGCCGCCGCGGUAA